AUGUCGGGGCGCGGCAAGGGCGGCAAGGGGCUGGGGAAGGGCGGCGCCAAGCGCCACCGGAAGGUGCUCCGCGACAACAUCCAGGGCAUCACCAAGCCGGCGAUCCGGAGGCUGGCCAGGAGGGGCGGCGUGAAGCGCAUCUCGGGGCUCAUCUACGAGGAGACCCGCGGCGUGCUCAAGAUCUUCCUCGAGAACGUCAUCCGCGACGCCGUCACCUACACUGAGCACGCUCGCCGCAAGACCGUCACCGCCAUGGACGUCGUCUACGCGCUCAAGCGCCAGGGCCGCACCCUCUACGGCUUCGGCGGCUAG
This 312-nucleotide ribosomal RNA is filed under the name Triticum aestivum (bread wheat). RNAcentral describes it as "partial small subunit ribosomal RNA". The record is from RNAcentral. Lineage: Eukaryota; Viridiplantae; Streptophyta; Magnoliopsida; Poales; Poaceae.